RNAcentral lists this unclassified non-coding RNA (240 nucleotides) under soil metagenome. RNAcentral describes it as "partial contains 5.8S ribosomal RNA, internal transcribed spacer 2, and large subunit ribosomal RNA". The record is from RNAcentral.
AAGACUAUAGACCUGCGGAGUACCUGCGGAAGGAUCAUUACCGAGUUUACAACUCCCAAACCCAAUGUGAACCAUACCAAACUGUUGCCUCGGCGGGGUCACGCCCCGGGUGCGUCGCAGCCCCGGAACCAGGCGCCCGCCGGAGGGACCAACCAAACUCUUUCUGUAGUCCCCUCGCGGACGUUAUUUCUUACAGCUCUGAGCAAAAAUUCAAAAUGAAUCAAAACUUUUAGCAAUGGA